RNAcentral lists this ribosomal RNA (469 nucleotides) under uncultured bacterium. Its description in RNAcentral is "partial 16S ribosomal RNA". It matches the Rfam family "Bacterial small subunit ribosomal RNA", at positions 28 to 507 of the family's 1533-position model. The record is from RNAcentral.
GAUGAACGCUGGCGGCGUGCUUAACACAUGCAAGUCGAACGGGGAACCCGGAGCUUGCUCUGUGGGAUCAGUGGCGAACGGGUGAGUAACACGUGAGCAACCUGCCCCUGACUCUGGGAUAAGCGCUGGAAACGGCGUCUAAUACUGGAUAUGUGACGUGACCGCAUGGUCUGCGUUUGGAAAGAUUUUUCGGUUGGGGAUGGGCUCGCGGCCUAUCAGCUUGUUGGUGAGGUAAUGGCUCACCAAGGCGUCGACGGGUGGCCGGCCUGAGAGGGUGACCGGCCACACUGGGACUGAGACACGGCCCAGACUCCUACGGGAGGCAGCAGUGGGGAAUAUUGCACAAUGGGCGGAAGCCUGAUGCAGCAACGCCGCGUGAGGGAUGACGGCCUUCGGGUUGUAAACCUCUUUUAGCAGGGAAGAAGCGAAAGUGACGGUACCUGCAGAAAAAGCGCCGGCUAACUACGUG